RNAcentral lists this ribosomal RNA (525 nucleotides) under uncultured bacterium. RNAcentral's name for it is "bacterial SSU rRNA". It matches the Rfam family "Bacterial small subunit ribosomal RNA", at positions 9 to 546 of the family's 1533-position model. The record is from RNAcentral.
GAGUUUGAUCCUGGCUCAGGAUGAACGCUAGCGGCAGGCUUAACACAUGCAAGUCGAGGGGUAACAGAGGGUGCUUGCACCUUGCUGACGACCGGCGCACGGGUGCGUAACGCGUAUGCAACCUACCUUGUACAGAGGGAUAGCCACUGGAAACGGUGAUUAAUACCUCAUAAAACUAUAGCAUCGCAUGGUGCAAUAGUCAAAACUCAGGUGGUACAAGAUGGACCCGCGUCUGAUUAGCUAGUUGGUGGGGUAAAGGCCUACCAAGGCGACGAUCAGUAGCCGACCUGGGAGGGUGAUCGGCCACACUGGAACUGAGACACGGUCCAGACUCCUACGGGAGGCAGCAGUGGGGAAUAUUGCACAAUGGGCGAAAGCCUGAUGCAGCAACGCCGCGUGAGUGAAGAAGGCCUUCGGGUCGUAAAACUCUGUCCUAAGGGAAGAAUAAUGACGGUACCUUAGGAGGAAGCCCCGGCUAACUACGUGCCAGCAGCCGCGGUAAUACGUAGGGGGCAAGCGUUAUCC